AACGUAGGAGACAAACGUUAUCCGGAGUUACUGGGCGUAAAGGGCGUGUAGGUGGUUGAGUAAGUCUGGCGUGAAAUUUUUCGGCUUAACCGGGAAAGGUCGUCGGAUACUGCUGAACUGGAGGACGGUAGAGGCGUGUGGAACUCCAGGUGUAGUGGUGAAAUGCGUAGAGAUCCGGAGGAACACCAGUGGCGAAGGCGACACGCUGGGCCGUACCUGACACUGAUGCGCGACAGCAUGGGGAGCAAACGGG
Molecule: ribosomal RNA, 253 nt
Filed under: uncultured bacterium
Lineage: Bacteria
Description: partial 16S ribosomal RNA
Rfam family: Bacterial small subunit ribosomal RNA
Source: RNAcentral